UACGAAAGGGGCUAGCCUUGCUCGGAAUUACUGGGCGUAAAGCGCACGUAGGCUGCCUUGUAAGAUGGGGGUGAAAUCCCCGGGCUCAACCCGGGAACUGCCUUCAUGACUGCAAAGCUAGAGGAUGCGAGAGGUUAGCGGAAUUCCGAGUGUAGAGGUGAAAUUCGUAGAUAUUCGGAAGAACACCAGUGGCGAAGGCGGCUAACUGGCGCAUUGCUGACGCUGAGGUGCGAAAGCGUGGGGAGCAAACAGG
Molecule: ribosomal RNA, 253 nt
Filed under: uncultured bacterium
Lineage: Bacteria
Description: partial 16S ribosomal RNA
Rfam family: Bacterial small subunit ribosomal RNA
Source: RNAcentral